Molecule: ribosomal RNA, 253 nt
Filed under: uncultured bacterium
Lineage: Bacteria
Description: partial 16S ribosomal RNA
Rfam family: Bacterial small subunit ribosomal RNA
Source: RNAcentral
UACGUAGGGUGCAAGCGUUAUCCGGAGUUAUUGGGCGUAAAGCGCGCGCAGGCGGUGCGGUAAGUCUCUGGUGAAAGCGCUCGGCUUAACUGGGCGAGGGCCGGGGAGACUGCCACGCUGGAGGGGAGCAGAGGCGAGUGGAAUUCCGGGUGUAGUGGUGAAAUGCGCAGAUAUCAGGAGGAACACCGGUGGCGAAGGCGGUUCUCUGGGCAUGUCCUGACGCUGAGGAGCGAAAGUGUGGGGAGCGAACAGG